RNAcentral lists this ribosomal RNA (660 nucleotides) under uncultured bacterium. Its description in RNAcentral is "bacterial SSU rRNA". It matches the Rfam family "Bacterial small subunit ribosomal RNA", at positions 839 to 1494 of the family's 1533-position model. The record is from RNAcentral.
CGCAGUGCCGUAGUUAACACAAUAAGCGCUCCGCCUGGGGAGUACGGUCGCAAGACUGAAACUCAAAGGAAUUGACGGGGGCCCGCACAAGCGGUGGAGUAUGAGUUUUAAUUCGACGCAACGCGAAGAACCUUACCAGGGCUUGACAUCCUCUGAAAGCCAUAGAGAUAUGGACCUUACCCUUCGGGGUAACAGAGAGACAGGUGGUGCAUGGUUGUCGUCAGCUCGUGUCGCGAGAUGUUGGGUUAAGUCCCGCGACGAGCGCAACCCCUAACAUUAGUUGCCAGCGAGUAAGGUCGGGAACUAUAAUGUGACUGCCGUUGACAAAACGGAGGAAGGAGGGGAUGACGUCAAAUCAUCAUGCCCCUUAUGUCCUGGGCUACACACGUACUACAAUGGCCGGUACAGACGGAAGCGAAGCCGUGAGGCGGAGCAAAACUGAGAAAGCCGGUCCCAGUUCGGAUUGUAGUCUGCAACUCGACUACAUGAAGUCGGAAUCGCUAGUAAUCGCAGGUCAGCAUACUGCGGUGAAUACGUUCCCGGGCCUUGUACACACCGCCCGUCACACCACGAAAGCUGACAACACCCGAAGCCGGUGAGCUAACCGAAAGGAGGCAGCCGUCGAAGGUGGGGUUGGUGAUUGGGGUGAAGUCGUAACAA